Molecule: small nucleolar RNA, 213 nt
Organism: Lycium barbarum (goji berry)
Lineage: Eukaryota; Viridiplantae; Streptophyta; Magnoliopsida; Solanales; Solanaceae
Product: small nucleolar RNA U3
Exons: 1
Source: RefSeq, a predicted model, not a curated record
AUAACCUUACUUGAACAUGAUAUGUUCUAUAGGCUCGUACCACUGUAUCCUUGAGUUCUAAGAGAUAGGAAACUAAGUCUGGUGGAUGACUCGUGGCCAUUGGACCAGAGCGUGAUUAAUAGCUUCCACGGCCCCUCAGGUCUUGGCACCGUAAAUGAUUGUUCUCGGCCCCAAUUGUGGUGUUGGGAUGUUCUAAUAGCUGUCUGACAGACU